Arachis ipaensis is the source of this 2100-nucleotide non-coding RNA. The record is from RefSeq and is a predicted model, not a curated record. Lineage: Eukaryota; Viridiplantae; Streptophyta; Magnoliopsida; Fabales; Fabaceae.
GUUCUUCCAGAUCAAGUCAUUUCAGAUCAAUUCCAGAUUGUCGAUAUUUUAGUUUCAUGUGUGUUUCCAUCACAGGCCUUAAAACUUGCAUGACAAGUGGAUAUUCAUACAUUGAAGGAAUUGAACAUUUGCUUCUUUCCUUAAAGCAAAACAACUAUGAGAUGCAUGCUUUUACAAACUACCCCAUAUGGUUUCUGUGCUAGUGUUAAAGGUCACACUUUUCAAGAACCCAGUUGCAGAUUUGUCUUUGUUUCAGUUGAAGAUGGGUAUUUGCAAUCAGGAUGCAAUCAAGCAGUUGCAAUCCAUGAUGGAAAAUGGUGUGUUCUUCACAACCUUCAAAAUAAAUAAAUAAAUCAGUCUCAUCUCGCAUUCUUGUUUUACUUCCAUGAUCUCUAAUUGAUAAAGAUUCCUUCUUUUUUUUUUUGUCUCGUUCCAGUGAAUUUGUGGCCUAUUGGAGAAAAUUUGUGGCCGAGUAUUACUCUCUUCGAGCAAAGGAACGGUGGUGCUUGUCUUUGUAUAAUAAUGUUGGGCAUCAUGCACUUGGUGUUUUCCCUUAGGCAUCUAUGGCAAGUCACUUCGCUUGUUAUUUAAAUUUUCUAUUAAUUAUUUCAAUGUCUGAAAAUUGAAUUUACUUGGAUUACUAUUUUUUGUCUGCACCAUGCUCUGCCCUUUUAAUUUAUUUUUACUUUUGACAUAUACAUAAUCUGACAUGGGUUUUUUAAUUUCCCCCAAAAGGAUGCAUGGCAGUGCGACAUAUGUGGUUCUAAAUCUGGAAGGGGAUUUGGUAAGGAACCGAGAACGUUAUUUUGUUAUUUUGCAAUACUGCAAGUGAGAACAUACGUGAUAUUGUGAUUGUAGAAAUUUAUCUGAUAAUUCUGUUUAUUGUCUAGUCUGUAAGUUUGACUUUCUGGCUGAAAAGUAUUACUCCAGUGCAAUCACUACUAACCAGUAAUUGGAUUAUGAAUUGUAGUAAAUAAUAAUCUUCAGUCUAAACUUGAAAAAUUAAAGAACUAGAACCUAGUCAUCUGUUGCUACUUGUAUGAUUGCUUGCUUAUAUUCUCUGUUGGAUGUUAAGAAAACAAUUCAAAUAUGUUAGAAAAUACUUGUAAGAUCCUUUAGUUGUACUGUUAUAAAUGACUAGGUGGACUGAAGCUGACAUCUAGCUUGUGGAGGAAAGGUUGUAAAAUGAAAGACGAAAAUGUAGAUAGAUGGCUAUAUGCAUUUUGGCAUUUUCCUUAUUACUUGCUUUUACAUAGGUGUAAUGCAGUCUAGUUUUGGACCUGAUUCAAUAGACUUAGUGUCAUCUCUAUGUGAUACCUGGCCUUCGUAAAGUACUUGAUUAAGCGACUGAAAACUUUGAAUUCAAUUAGGUUUAUCAAUCGAGAUGGAAUUGACUUUUCAGAUGCACAAAGCAUGCAAGCCAUUCAGGUAAUAGGUUCUUUAAAAGGAUUUCAAGGAAUUCAUUGAUUGACACAUAAGGAAAUGCCCUAUUCACUUUGAGCAAGUAAAAAAAACAUAAAAAAAAGAAUUUCACAAUCAUUAAUCAAUGUCAGUUAUUGAAAAUUACAGUAACAUGCUUACAGUUAGGAGUGCUGAAAAAAGCCGGGAGUCCAAUUUAGCAUGUGAUUCAGGUGUACUUUUUUAUUUUUGCUCUUUUAGAUUUGCCUUGCUGCUUUAUUGAGCUUUUGAUUGCUCUUUUGGACUUGUCUUGCCUUACUUGACAGAUGCACCAAAAUGAUUCAAUAUAUACUAGCUAAAUUGUGUAUCCCAAAACGCUUUCAGGUAGUCCGCAAAAACGAUCAUUUAGGAAGAGAUGUUGAACUCUUUCGUUGGCAUUAUUACGCUCCAGGUCAAGUUGGUCCAGCCUCUAAGGGUAUACUCCUGCUGACUGAUCGAAAGGAGCGUUUUUGUCUAAUGGUUUAUUUGUCGAGGAGGUGUAUUUGUCAAUGGCUCUGAGCAAGUCACCAUCAUGCAAUUUAAAAGGAAUAGGAUCAAUAUAAAAUCUUGUUUGUUUAAAUUGUUGAAAAUGAAGGAACUAGUAGUGUCAAUGAGUAAUGUAAAUAGUUAUAGUUCUGUCAAUAGUUUAUUUUUUUGGGUACC